GAUUGAACGCUGGCGGCGUGCCUGACACAUGCAAGUCGAGCGGUAACAGGUGUAGCAAUACAUGCUGACGAGCGGCGGACGGGUGAGUAACGCUUGGGAAUCUGCCUAUUAGUGGGGGACAACCCGGGGAAACUCGGGCUAAUACCGCAUACGCACUACGGUGGAAAGCCGGGACCGGCAAGGCCUGGCGCUAACAGAUGAGCCCAACGUCGGAUUAGCUAGUUGGUAGGGAACGGCCUACCAAGGCGACGAUCCGUAACUGGUCUGAGAGGACGACCAGUCGCACCGGAACUGAGACACGGUCCGGACUCUACGGGAGGCAGCAGUGGGGAAUAUUGGACAAUGGGCGAAAGCCUGAUCCAGCGACGCGCGUGGGUGAAGAAGGCCUGCGGGUUGUAAAGCCCUUUCAGGUGGGGAAGAAAAGCCU
This 427-nucleotide ribosomal RNA is filed under the name uncultured bacterium. RNAcentral's name for it is "bacterial SSU rRNA". It matches the Rfam family "Bacterial small subunit ribosomal RNA", at positions 27 to 455 of the family's 1533-position model. The record is from RNAcentral.